GAUGAAGAACGUAGCGAAAUGCGAUAAGUAAUGUGAAUUGCAGAAUCCAGUGAAUCAUCGAAUCUUUGAACGCACAUUGCGCCCGCCAGAAUGCUGGCGGGCAUGCCUGUUCGAGCGUCAUUUCAACCCUCGACCUCCCUUUGGGGAAGUCGGCGUUGGGGACCGGCAGCACACCGCCGGCCCUGAAAUGGAGUGGCGGCCCGUCCGCGGCGACCUCUGCGUAGUAAACCAACUCGCACCGGAACCCCGACGUGGCCACGCCGUAAAACACCCAACUUCUGAACGUUGACCUCGAAUCAGGUAGGACUACCCGCUGAACUUAAGCAUAUCAAUAAGCGGAGGA
This 343-nucleotide unclassified non-coding RNA is filed under the name soil metagenome. RNAcentral's name for it is "partial contains 5.8S ribosomal RNA, internal transcribed spacer 2, and large subunit ribosomal RNA". The stretch from base 1 to 120 matches the Rfam family "5.8S ribosomal RNA", at positions 35 to 154 of the family's 154-position model. The record is from RNAcentral.